CAACAUGUCCGCCGCCGCCACCGCCACUCACCCUCACAUCUUAGUGUUCCCAUACCCAGCACAAGGCCACAUGCUUCCCCUCCUAGACCUCACCCACCAACUUGCCCUUAGAGGCCUAACCAUCACCAUCUUAGUCACCCCUAAAAACCUCCCUUUCCUUUCACCUCUCCUCUCUUCUCACCCUUCUUCCAUUACACCCCUCGUCUUCCCUUUCCCUUCUCACCCUCUCAUCCCACAAGGCGUUGAACAUGUUAAAGACCUUGGCAACAGUGGGAACCUCCCUGUAAUGGCCGCUUUAGGCAAGCUUCAUGACCCUUUACUCAACUGGUUCAACUCUCAGAGUAAUCCACCAGUUGCCAUCAUUUCCGAUUUCUUCCUCGGUUGGACUCAACGACUCGCGACUCAGUUACAAAUACCCAGACUCACUUUCUUCGCUUCAGGUGCUUUUGUGGUCUCUCUAUCUGAUUAUAUGUGGUCCAACAUUGAAAAACUGAAGUCUUUGAGUGAAAUAAAGCUUAGCCAUUUGCCUGGUUCACCUGUUUUCAAGCCAGAAAAUUUCCCAUCCUUGUUUAAACACUAUAAACAAUCAGAUCCUGAUUGCGAGUUUGUUAAGGAUGGGAUUUUAGCAAAUACAAAGAGUUGGGGUUGUGUUUUGAAUUCAUUUGAUGGUUUGGAAACCGAAUAUAUUCAAUGGUUGAAGACAUAUGUAGGUCAUAAUCGUGUUUAUAGUGUUGGACCUGUGAGUUUGAUAGGCAAUCGGGGAGAUUCGGAUCCGAGUUCGGGUUCGGACCGGGUCAUGACUUGGCUUGAUCAAUGCCCUGAUGGUUCCGUUGUUUAUGUUUGUUUUGGGAGUCAAAAGCUUUUGAGCAAAGAACAAGUGGAAGCUUUAGCUAAAGGGCUUGAAAAGAGUGGCACACGUUUUGUUUGGGUGGUGAAACCGGGUACGAACAAUGGGUUCGGAGAUGUACCCGAUGGGUUCGAGGAACGGGUUUCGGGUCAGGGUUUGGUUAUAAAAGAAUGGGCACCACAGGUGUUGAUAUUGAACCAUAAGGCAGUGGGUGGGUUUUUGAGUCAUUGUGGGUGGAACUCAGUUUUGGAAGGGAUAGUGGGUGGAGUUAUGAUAUUGGCUUGGCCUAUGGAGGCUGACCAAUUUGUGAAUGCUAAGCUUUUGGUUGAUGAAAUAGGUGUGGGUGUUAGGGUGUGUGAGGGUGCUGACACGGUUCCUAACUCGGAUGAAUUGGGUCGAGCCGUUGCUGAGGCAAUGACCGAGGGUGGAGGAAUGAAGACCAAGGCUAAAGAUCUCAAACAAAAAGCUUUGGCAGCAGUGAGUCAUGGGGAAAGCUCCAUGAAAGAUUUGGAUAGAAUUGUGGAAGAAUUGGGUCAACUUAGAGGGUGAUAAGUCUUUUUUAGGGUAAACUAUAUUGAAUGUUAUUAAAUUAUUACUAAUUAUAAAAUAGUCAUCGAGACAUUCGAAAGUUUUUAUUUAAAUUACUAAAUUGUUAAGUUUUUCUUUAAAAAAGUUCAUUUAACGAGUUCUAAGUGACGAUUUGAUAAUCGAUACGAUAGAUUAGUACUCAUCAUAUUGCUCAAGACUCUAGUACUUUUCAUUUUCAUUGGAUUUUUGCAAUCUUAUGUUAAACACUUAAAUCAACUCGUUACAAAUUUUCGUAUUUUGUGGCUUAAUAUUGUUUACCUUUUGGCUCGAUUUCAUUUUUUGCCAUCGUCGUUGGAUCUUUGCAAUCUUAUGUUAACACUUGCAUCAUCUUUCGCCACCAUCACUAGAAAAUUUAGAUGAUGAUAAUUUAUGUUGAGAUGAGAUUAUUUGACUUUUUAAUGUUGAUAUUUAAACUAACUUCGCGUAAACCACUAAAUUUAGAUUGCAUGAUUUUGGAUAUGGCUUGUCUUUUUAAGUCCUUAUUUUUAUUUACAUUGUUGGGAUUAGAGCUGAUUAUGGGCCGGGCCGGGCGAAGACCCGCUCAAAAAAUGGGAGGGUUUGAGUAAACAUAUAGGCCCGAAAAAUGGGUUUGGACAAAAAAAUGAGGCCUGUUUAAAAAAUGGGCCGAGCCUCGGGUAAGAGUUUUUUGGCCUGGGCCCGGCCUGACCCGGCCCAAAUUAUAUAUUAAUAUAUAUUUUUAUUUUAUUUUUAAUUAUUUUAAAUUUUUAAUAUAAUUAUUUUUUUAUUAUAUUGUCAAUUUGUGUAUUGUUUUAAGAAUUAUUUUAGUAAUUUUUUAUUUGUUUUAAUAUUUAUUUUUAUGUUUUUAAAUAUAUUUGAUUUAUUAUAUUUUUAAAUUUUUUUAUUUAAUGAAAUAAGCAAAAAAAAUUAAUAUGGGCCGGGUCGGGUAGGGUCUGGGCUUAGCAAUUUUAUUUCGGGCCGGACCGGGCCCGAGACUAGUAGAUGGGCCUAAAAAUUUUUUUGGGCCCAGCUCGACCCGGCCCAUGAUCACCUCUAGUUAGGAUAUUUCUAUUUAGAAAAUAAAUCUUGUUUAAGUUUAUUUUUUGGACUUAUAUUUUUAUUUAAAUCUUUUCAUUUUUAGGACGAGUUUUUAGGCUUGAUCGAAUAAUUUGACCCAUAGUUAAGUCUAGUAAGAACAUAUUAUGCUUACAAUACUAUUCAAAUUUAUUUAAUUAUAAAUUAUAUAUAAUUUAUAAUAAUUAAUCUUCAUGCACUACUUAAAAUAAUCAUACCCAUUCUACUUAAAAUUUUAUUAUUAGUUUUUAUAUUUUGCGGGUUUAACAUGUACUCUAAUUUGGUCAUUUUUAGUUUCUUUACUUUUUAAAUUUUAAAAUUUCGAUCAUCACCAAAUGACAAUUGGUAUAUUCAUUAAGUUGUGCUAUUUUUAAAAUUGCAUGUGGCCAACACAUUACUAUGUGUAAAACCAUGUUAGCUUAUUAAUUACACAAAUUAUUCAUUAAAAAUUUAAUUAAUGGAUUAAUGAUUUUUAUUUGAGUCAAGAUUGAAAUUUUGAAAAGUAUAAGGACUUAAAAUGAUUUAAUAGGAGAAUAUAUGGACGAAAUCAAUAACUAUACAUAUAAUACAUGACUAAUAAUUGAAUUUAAAUAAAUGAAUUUUAAUCUUUAUUGUUUGAGUUAGGAUUAAAAUUUAAAAAUUUAAAAAAUAAAAGAACUAAAAUUGAUCAAAUUAAAAUAUAAAGACUAAUAACAAAAUUUAACUAAAAAAUUCAUAUUGUUGACUUGUCGACCCCAUUGAUGAAGUCUUCGGUCUCCACUCUCCUGUCUUUACAACUCAGCUAUUUUAUCUUCUUAAUUCUAUCAUCACUGACACCAGCUGCCUACCUCUCUUCGUGUGUCGACCAUUGAGCCUUUAUCAACCAGCCACCAUGGCUGCCGAUGCCACCAGAUCCAACCCUCACCCUCACAUCUUGGUGUUCCCAUAUCCAGCUCAUGGCCACAUGCUUGCCCUCCUGGACCUCACUCACCAACUAGCUCUCCAUGGCCUAACCAUCACCAUCUUAGUCACCCCUAAAAACCUACCUUUCCUUUCUCCUCUGCUCUCUUCUCACCCUUCUUCCAUUACUUCCCUUGUUUUCCCUUUCCCUUCUCACCCUCUCAUCCCACCAGGUGUUGAACAUGUUAAAGACGUCGGCAACAGUGGGAACCGCCUUAUCAUGGCUGCUUUA
Molecule: long non-coding RNA, 3638 nt
Filed under: Gossypium barbadense (sea-island cotton)
Lineage: Eukaryota; Viridiplantae; Streptophyta; Magnoliopsida; Malvales; Malvaceae
Description: long non-coding RNA (GBAR_LNC003540)
Source: RNAcentral